AUCAAGGAGGAAUUCAGGAGAAUAACUACGGAGGGAGGCAGACACCCUCACCACAUUCAAGAGUAGGCUUAAGACAUUCCUCUUUGAUAAAGCUUAUAGUUAGGGCUGGAUCAGGUGAGUCCUGAACCAUCCCUUAGUUAUGCUGCUAUAGGCCUAGACUAUCGGGGGAUUUCCCAUGGUGCACUGAGCUCCUCUCUUCCUCUCUCUUUCUGCACUCAUUCAUGUUCCAUUAAUGCAUGUUACUAACUUCACUUCUUCCCCGGAGUUCUUGUGCUUUCUCGUCUCGCAGGUUCUCAUGGAUCCUGGUGGAGCCUCCUGCCAUGGUCCUGCUUGACUGCCAUUGCCAAUACUGUUGUUGCUGUGCACCUGUCUGUCUGUCUGUCUGUCUCUUUCUGCUCUCUCUCUCUCUCUCUCUCUCUCUCUCUCUCUCUCUCUCACCCCAACUGGUCGAGACAGACGACCACCCACCUAGAGCCGGAGGAUCUGUCCUAGGUUUCUGCCUUUUAACAGGCAGUUUUUCCUUGCCCUUGUCUCCAAGUGUCUUGCUCAUGGUGGUACUGUUGGGUCUCUGUAAUUAAUGUUAAAGAGUUCGGUCUAGACCUGCUCUAUUUGAAAAGUGUCCUGAGAUAACUUCUGUUAUGAAUUGGCGCUAUACAAAUAAAAUUGAAUUGAAUUGAACUACCAUUCCCCUGGAGCGAACCUUCAUGCACAAACUUGACGAAUACACACCAAAACUUAUUACACUGAUGAAAGCCAAGGGAGGUGCCAUGGGGAUCAAGAUGAGGCCGCUCCUGGACAGACUGAGUCAGGUGUGCUAGUUUUGCUUAUUCAUAUGUUUUACAGGGAGAUGGGCCUACUUUUUUUCUCACUCACACACACAUACACAUAUACAGCACAAGCCUCAUACUUGGUUUAAUGCCCUUGCACGCUCUGGUUCCAUGCACUUAAAACACAAGAGCAAACAUAUGCACUUGUGUUUUCACUUGACAGUUCAUUGUGUAUGUAUAAUGGUUAUGUUCAUGUUCUUAAUCUGUUCACAGAAACAGAGCAUUGAGAUGAGGCAUGAGAUUAUACUGUACCUUGGCGAGAAGGAAGAGGAACUUUUUGAAGACUGCUUGGAGGACAGACGAAGUGAUGUCAGUAACCACAUCCUCAAAAUACUCGUCGUCCAUGGUGCUGAUGAGGAUCCAGUCGAUGUCUCCAUCCUUGUCGAAGGCCAUGAGAUUUUGCCAGGGUGCAACAGUACUGCGAAAGCUUGCUCACUGCCCAUGGGACUGAUUUAUGCCCUUAACUUGGCAUACCCUCCCACUUUGCGCUACACUUUUGAAGUUUUCCAAAAACUCUUGCUGGAGCUGGAUGGCUUUAAACUGUCCCCAGAAGUAAACACCUUGAAGUUGAAGUUGCUUUCCGAAAUGCAUGUCAUGACUUUGUCAUCCUAGAGGAGAAAAAUGUGGCAUCAUGCAUGGACCCUUGUGAAGAAAUGCCAAGAAUUUGCAUUUAGUUCCAGUUCAUCUUGGUUUACUAGUGGGAAGUUGCCUGUCAUAAAUAUUUUUCAUUUUUUGUCAAAUAAGGUAUCUUUUAAUUACAGUAAAGAUUUUAUUCUUCAUCUAGAAUGGUUAGACACCUUAAGCUGUUCAUUUUUAAUUUAUUUUGUUGAUUUUAUUAAUGUUUUAAUUGCAUUCUUAAAAGUGCACUAGUCUAGAGGACUGGUUUAAAUGUUGAAUUUACACUGUUUCAGAGUGUAGGUUUGUAAGAUUUUAAUUGCAUAUUUGAGAAGUGACUAUGUUACCAGAUCGAUGUUGGAUGUGGUGUAUAAUGUGUAAUACUGUGUAUUUGUUGUUUACCAGUCAUACCCACCUUUCAGUAGUAUGAUACAAAUUUGGAUAUUUUUCUUUCUUUUUUAAAUACAUUUUGCUGGAGAUAUAUAUUUAAUUUACUGUUAGUACAAAUUCUAAUGCAGUACAAUAUAAUGCACUUUUACUUUUAAUGCAGUACAAUCCUUACACCACUGGUUUGGCUGCAGUUGCUCCGCCCAUCUCUCCAGCUGCAUGCCUGCACUGUUAAUGUGUGUGUUCCUGUGUUUCAUUAUUCUACACUUUCAGUUGUUUCUAUCCUGACCCUCUCCCUGAAGUUGUUUAGGGCAUGUUUGUUAAAAAUAAACAGUUUAAUUGCAUUGUAAUUUAGUUGUGUGAUAUGUGAUAAAUAUAUAUUAAAUGCAUAGAGUAUUGGUUAAAUUUAAAUUGGUAACAUUUAUCAAAAGAAAACUGGCAAUGAUUACCUAAUUUUAGUGAGUAAUGUAACGUAAUGCAACCAAGUAAAUUAAAAUGUCAAGCACAAGAAAAUAAUUAAAAUCUACUAAAUUACGUCAUAACAGCAAAUACUACAGAUAUAUAAAAUUUACUUAAAAUUUUGAGGAAAAUGAUGUUCUUGCCUAUGAAAAACAAGUAGACUUUACUUAAUUUGUUUAAAUACACAUAACUUAAAACUUGGAUGUAAUUAAGUAAAUGUUACUUAAUAUCUUCACAACUGUUAUGUUUUAUGGUAAGUAAAAUUUACUUGAUACUGGCAAGUUAGUGUUACUUGAUAUUGCAGCAUUAAAUUUUACUUGAAUCAUUUGCGUGCAAAUACUUACAAUAUAUUUUUUAAGUAAAUCUUAUGAGUUAUUUUUUUCAGUGUGAUGUGUCUGUGGGACGCUCCACCGCCGCCACCGGGCCCGCCGCUGCCACCACUGUGUAAUGUGCAUAUUUCAUAUAAUACUUUUUUCAAAAUUUUGUU
This 2775-nucleotide long non-coding RNA is filed under the name Dicentrarchus labrax (European seabass). RNAcentral's name for it is "lncRNA (ENSDLAG00005034387.1)". The record is from RNAcentral. Lineage: Eukaryota; Metazoa; Chordata; Actinopteri; Moronidae.